AUUGAACGCUGGCGGCAUGCCUUACACAUGCAAGUCGAACGGCAGCACGGGUGCUUGCACCUGGUGGCGAGUGGCGAACGGGUGAGUAAUACAUCGGAACCCGUCCUGUAGUGGGGGAUAGCCCGGCGAAAGCCGGAUUCAUACCGCAUACGAUCUACGGAUGACAGCGGGGGAACUUCGGGCAUCGCGCUUUAGGGUUGGCCGAUGGCUGAUUAGCUAGUUGGUGGGGUAAAGGCCUACCAAGGCGACGAUCAGUAGCUGGUCUGAGAGGACGACCAGCCACACUGGGACUGAGACACGGCCCAGACUCCUACGGGAGGCAGCAGUGGGGAAUUUUGGACAAUGGGCGAAAGCCUGAUCCAGCAAUGCCGCGUGUGUGAAGAAGGCCUUCGGGUUGUAAAGCACGUUUGUCCGGAAAGAAAUCCUUGGCCCUAAUACGGUCGGGGGAUGACGGUACCGGAAGAAUAAGCACCGGCUAACUACGUG
Molecule: ribosomal RNA, 486 nt
Filed under: uncultured bacterium
Lineage: Bacteria
Description: partial 16S ribosomal RNA
Rfam family: Bacterial small subunit ribosomal RNA
Source: RNAcentral